RNAcentral lists this ribosomal RNA (369 nucleotides) under Triticum aestivum (bread wheat). RNAcentral describes it as "partial small subunit ribosomal RNA". Lineage: Eukaryota; Viridiplantae; Streptophyta; Magnoliopsida; Poales; Poaceae. The record is from RNAcentral.
AUGGAUCCUCAUCCCCUCGCUAAUCUUUUUAAGAGAUCCAAUUAUGAUGAACUAAUUUCUAGUGAUUUGAGAGCACUAGAUUAUCUUUAUGAGGUUUUACUUGAAAUCCGUGAAUCUGAAAAUUGUGAUGAAGAAAUUUAUGAAGAGAUUCACGGUAGCUCAUUGAAUAAAAAGCAUGAUUGCAAUGAUUUUACUAUAAAUUCUCUUGAUGUCAAUUGUGCUAAUAAUAUGCAAAACCCUAAGCUUGGGGAUGCUAAAUUUGCUAUGUCUACUACUUGUUGCAGUGAUCAUGAUUGGGGUGAUUCUUCUUAUGAUCUUGAAAAUUUAUUUAAGCCCCAUGGUGAAUAUGAGAUUGAUAAUAGUGUUUGA